GCCAGCCGCUCAGAACUUAAAGGAAUUGACGGGGCCCGGCACAAGCGGCGGAGCAUGUGGAUUAAUUCGAUGCAACGCGAAGAACCUUACCUGGGUUUGACAUACACCGGAAAACCGUAGAGAUACGGUCCCCCUUGUGGUCGGUGUACAGGUGGUGCAUGGCUGUCGUCAGCUCGUGUCGUGAGAUGUUGGGUUAAGUCCCGCAACGAGCGCAACCCUUGUCUUAUGUUGCCAGCACGUAAUGGUGGGGACUCGUAAGAGACUGCCGGGGUCAACUCGGAGGAAGGUGGGGACGACGUCAAGUCAUCAUGCCCCUUAUGUCCAGGGCUUCACACAUGCUACAAUGGCCAGUACAGAGGGCUGCGAGACCGUGAGGUGGAGCGAAUCCCUUAAAGCUGGUCUCAGUUCGGAUCGGGGUCUGCAACUCGACCCCGUGAAGUCGGAGUCGCUAGUAAUCGCAGAUCAGCAACGCUGCGGUGAAUACGUUCCCGGGCCUU
Molecule: ribosomal RNA, 497 nt
Filed under: uncultured Rhodococcus sp.
Lineage: Bacteria; Bacillati; Actinomycetota; Actinomycetes; Mycobacteriales; Nocardiaceae
Description: bacterial SSU rRNA
Rfam family: Bacterial small subunit ribosomal RNA
Source: RNAcentral